UCCCACAUAAACAGAGGACAUUAGUCCAAAGAAGUAUAGAAAAAGAAUCAUCCCUGGGGAUGGUUGGGAGAGAAAAGGAAAACUUGUUCCAGAAAAAACUGACUGAGGGAU
RNAcentral lists this small nucleolar RNA (111 nucleotides) under Castor canadensis (American beaver). Its description in RNAcentral is "Small nucleolar RNA SNORD22 (ENSCCNG00000008010.1)". Lineage: Eukaryota; Metazoa; Chordata; Mammalia; Rodentia; Castoridae. The record is from RNAcentral.